CGCUCUCUCUCUCUUCUUCUACUCAGAAUCUCUUUUAUUAUUUUGAAAUAGUUUGACUUAAGUAUUAGAAAGUCUCCAAAAAACUUCAAUAAAUGGAUUUCUUCUGCUUGUGAUGUUUCAGAGCCAAUCAUGAUAUUAGAUAAAGAUCUGACCAUCGUCAACCGCAUCGAGAUCUCUGGCUAGCUAUUCAGAUCUCUUGAUCAUCCUUUUUUAUCUCUCUAGCUCAUCGGUCUAAAUCAAAUCAAUCCUCAACAGCAAUAGAUGG
RNAcentral lists this long non-coding RNA (265 nucleotides) under Elaeis guineensis (African oil palm). RNAcentral describes it as "long non-coding RNA (EGUI_LNC028941)". Lineage: Eukaryota; Viridiplantae; Streptophyta; Magnoliopsida; Arecales; Arecaceae. The record is from RNAcentral.